AUAGAAAAUUUUACAAAUCUUAUUAUAUAAAGUACGGUUUCAAAAAUUACUAACUCACGAGAUCAUGAUAGAUGGAAAGUUUAACGAUAAGAUGUUUACAUGUGUCAUCAAAGAUUUAA
This 119-nucleotide small RNA is filed under the name Arabidopsis thaliana (thale cress). RNAcentral's name for it is "ATSL194630". The record is from RNAcentral. Lineage: Eukaryota; Viridiplantae; Streptophyta; Magnoliopsida; Brassicales; Brassicaceae.